GAUUUCUGACGAACCGACGUGGCCCGUCGUACUUAUGUUCGAUGAGUGCUGUGGCGAGUUUGUCAUCCUUCCAGAGAGCUGCGUCUACCGUUUAUUCGGCUGGACGUACGUGAUCUGGAUCGAUUACUUUGAAAAAAUUAGAGUGUUUAAAGCAGGCUUAUGCUGUGAAUACAUUAGCAUGGAAUAAUAAUUUAGGACUUCGGUUCUAUUUUGUUGGUUUCUAGGACUGAAGUAAUGAUUGAUAGGGAUAGUUGGGGGUGCUAGUAUUCCGCGGCCAGAGGUGAAAUUCUUGGAUUCGUGGAAGACUAACUACUGCGAAAGCAUU
This 325-nucleotide ribosomal RNA is filed under the name uncultured Euglypha. Its description in RNAcentral is "SSU rRNA". The stretch from base 109 to 325 matches the Rfam family "Eukaryotic small subunit ribosomal RNA", at positions 737 to 955 of the family's 1831-position model. The record is from RNAcentral. Lineage: Eukaryota; Cercozoa; Imbricatea; Euglyphida; Euglyphidae.